CUCCUUCGACGAGUCGAGUAGUUUGGGAAUGCUGCUCUAAAUGGGAGGUAUAUGUCUUCUAAAGCUAAAUACCGGCCAGACCGAUAGCGAACAAGUAGAGUGAUCGAAAGAUGAAAAGAACUUUGAAAAGAGAGUUAAAAAGUACGUGAAAUUGUUGAAAGGGAAGCGCUUGUGACCAGACUUGGGCUUGGUUGAUCAUCCGGGGUUCUCCCCGGUGCACUCUUCCGGCUCAGGCCAGCAUCAGUUCGCCCUGGGGGAUAAAGGCUUCGGGAAUGUGGCUCUCUCCGGGGAGUGUUAUAGCCCGCUGCGUAAUACCCUGUGGCGGACUGAGGUCGAGCAUCGCUAGGUGCGGCG
This 354-nucleotide ribosomal RNA is filed under the name Fusarium solani. RNAcentral's name for it is "partial large subunit ribosomal RNA". It matches the Rfam family "Eukaryotic large subunit ribosomal RNA", at positions 252 to 630 of the family's 3401-position model. Lineage: Eukaryota; Fungi; Ascomycota; Sordariomycetes; Hypocreales; Nectriaceae. The record is from RNAcentral.